AUUAAAUGAAUUGACGGGGGCCCGCACAAGCGGUGGAGCAUGUGGUUUAAUUCGAUGCACGCGAAGAACCUUACCUACUCUUGACAUCCAGAGAACUUUCCAGAGAUGGAUUGGUGCCUUCGGGAACUCUGAGACAGGUGCUGCAUGGCUGUCGUCAGCUCGUGUUGUGAAAUGUUGGGUUAAGUCCCGCAACGAGCGCAACCCUUAUCCUUUGUUGCCAGCGGUCCGGCCGGAACUCAAAGGAGACUGCCAGUGAUAAACUGGAGGAAGGUGGGGAUGACGUCAAGUCAUCAUGGCCCUUACGAGUAGGGCUACACACGUGCUACAAUGGCGCAUACAAAGAGAAGCGACCUCGCGAGAGCAAGCGGACCUCAUAAAGUGCGUCGUAGUCCGGAUUGGAGUCUGCAACUCGACUCCAUGAAGUCGGAAUCGCUAGUAAUCGUGGAUCAGAAUGCCACGGUGAAUACGUUCCCGGGCCUGGGA
Molecule: ribosomal RNA, 483 nt
Filed under: uncultured bacterium 5751pcr
Lineage: Bacteria
Description: bacterial SSU rRNA
Rfam family: Bacterial small subunit ribosomal RNA
Source: RNAcentral